AAUAACCAAACGCUGAAUUCCUGAUCAAACGGGGAAACCAAUUUUUUGGGGUUAAUCCACAAAUAUGUGGUAGGGUUACACUUCGACCCGCAUCCGUCAGCUAACCUCGUAAGCGUUGAAGUGCUGUUGG
RNAcentral lists this small RNA (130 nucleotides) under Desulfoscipio gibsoniae. RNAcentral's name for it is "Desulfotomaculum gibsoniae c-di-AMP sequence". It matches the Rfam family "c-di-AMP riboswitch aptamer (ydaO/yuaA leader)". From Rfam's summary of the family: This family represents a conserved RNA structure found upstream of the ydaO and yuaA genes in Bacillus subtilis and related genes in other bacteria. The ydaO/yuaA element is thought to act as a genetic "off" switch for the ydaO and yuaA genes in its native state. It is believed that the element may be triggered during osmotic shock leading to activation of ydaO, a predicted amino acid transporter gene, and members of the yuaA-yubG operon which code for KtrA and KtrB K+ transporters. RNAcentral also lists the same sequence under 1 other name. The record is from RNAcentral. Lineage: Bacteria; Bacillati; Bacillota; Clostridia; Eubacteriales; Desulfallaceae.